GCCUACGGGUGGCUGCAGUGAGGAAUAUUGGUCAAUGGAGGCAACUCUGAACCAGCCAAGUCGCGUGAAGGAUGAAGGUCUUAUGGAUUGUAAACUUCUUUUGCAGGGGAAUAAAUAGCGGUACGUGUACCGUUUUGCAUGUACCCUGCGAAUAAGGAUCGGCUAACUCCGUGCCAGCAGCCGCGGUAAUACGGAGGAUCCGAGCGUUAUCCGGAUUUAUUGGGUUUAAAGGGUGCGCAGGCGGGAGAGUAAGUCGGCGGUGGAAUUUUGCAGCUCAACUGUAAAAGUGCCUGCUAUACUGGUUUCCUUGAGUGUGGAUGAAGUAGGCGGAAUUUGUGGUGUAGCGGUGAAAUGCUUAGAUAUCACGAGGAACUCCGAUUGCGCAGGCAGCUUACUAAACCACUACUGACGCUCAGGCACGAAGGCGUGGGGAUCAAACAGGAUUCGAUACCCUAGUAGUCAUG
This 464-nucleotide ribosomal RNA is filed under the name uncultured Porphyromonadaceae bacterium. Its description in RNAcentral is "bacterial SSU rRNA". It matches the Rfam family "Bacterial small subunit ribosomal RNA", at positions 337 to 799 of the family's 1533-position model. The record is from RNAcentral. Lineage: Bacteria; Pseudomonadati; Bacteroidota; Bacteroidia; Bacteroidales; Porphyromonadaceae.